This 449-nucleotide ribosomal RNA is filed under the name uncultured bacterium. Its description in RNAcentral is "bacterial SSU rRNA". It matches the Rfam family "Bacterial small subunit ribosomal RNA", at positions 331 to 794 of the family's 1533-position model. The record is from RNAcentral.
CCAGACUCCUACGGGAGGCAGCAGUGGGGAAUAUUGUGCAAUGGGCGAAAGCCUGACCCAGCAACGCCGCGUGAAGGAAGAAGGCUUUCGGGUUGUAAACUUCUUUUGACAGGGAAGAGCAGAAGACGGUACCUGUCGAAUAAGCCACGGCUAACUACGUGCCAGCAGCCGCGGUAAUACGUAGGUGGCAAGCGUUGUCCGGAUUUACUGGGUGUAAAGGGCGUGUAGGCGGGAGCGCAAGUCAGAUGUGAAAACUCAGGGCUCAACCCUGAGCCUGCAUUUGAAACUGUUUCCCUUGAGUGUCGGAGAGGUAAUCGGAAUUCCUUGUGUAGCGGUGAAAUGCGUAGAUAUAAGGAAGAACACCAGUGGCGAAGGCGGAUUACUGGACGAUAACUGACGGUGAGGCGCGAAAGCGUGGGGAGCAAACAGGAUUAGAUACCCGAGUAAGC